UAUAAAUAUAUAUAUAUAUAGCCACUACAACAGAAUUAGGUUAUAGGGACACAUGUUUGGGACACUUUUGAGUAAGUGUCCCAUUUAUACUAAAACUUAAAAAAAUAUCUACUUAUGCCUAAAUAUAAAGUCCAAUCCAACCAAAAAUAAAAGAUUACUCUACUCAACCCACCACACCCAGUUUAUUUGACCCGAUUACAAACAGAAAAGAAAAAAUAAAAGAAAAAUCAAUUACCAUCUUUUCUUCUCUCUUCACACAAUCCACCGAAAUUCUAGACGAAGAGCCUUUCCUGUCGUCCUCCUCCGCCACCGCAGCCAACGAGAUAGAGUUUCGGCAGUUGCUAAAUACUUAAAUAAGUGUUUGUAAAUUAGCAGCACUCUUUUAAGUUAUAGCGACACUUUUUAACUGUCACUAUAUACCUAGCGACCCCACAUAUAGCAAUACUUUUUAAAAGUGUCGGUAAUUUUAGCUAGCAGCACUUUUUUGACAUGUACCUACAUUUAAAAGUGUCGCUAUAGACCGCUUUUGUUGUAGUGAGCGACGGAUUGUUUGGUCGUUGUUGAAUCAUAAACUGUAAAUUCUAAAUAUUUUUAUCGACGACAAUUUUCGUCGUUAAAUGUUUAGUUUAUUAGCUGAAAAAUAUUUUUUAGCGACAGUAUACGCUGUCAUUAUUUUAGUUUUAUCCGUCACUAACAAUAAGAUUUUGCAUAUUUUUAUAUAAAAAAAUGACAAACAAACGGUCGUUAUUACUAACAAUAUUGGUCGUUAUUAUAUACAUUUAACGACGGGAUUUGAUCUUGUCGUUAAAUACUUUUAGUCAUGGAAAUUAAAGCCCUUCGUAAUAAGUUUUAGCGAAGGAAGAUUUAACGACGGGUGGCGACGGAAAUUUGUACGGUCAUUAAAAGUUAUUAGCGACCAAUAUGCUAGUUAUAACGACCACUAUUUCCUUCGUUAAAUAUCAAUUUUUUUGUAGUGUGAUCUUUUCACAUCUUUUAAACAUAGGAGUUUUCCUUUUUAAAAAAAAAAAAAAUCAAAAACUCCCCCUUAAUUAGACAAUCUCACAAUUGAAAGUAAUUUUGACAAAAUUUUAGUCGAUUCGUGAAUAUCCAUCCAUCAUAUUCAACACUCACAACCGAGAUAGAUUAAUCACCAAGAUAUCAAAUUUGAUUUCAAAAUUUUUAUGAAUAUAUGUAUUAAGAAAUCAUAUAUUAAAUUAUCGUCAAAAUAAAAAACAGUGGAGUAAAACCGAUAAUUAAUAUGAAGUUAAUUGAAGAUGAAUUCCAGUUAAAACACAUUGAAAAAUUCUAAUCUCCCCAAAAUAAAGAAUUUCAAUCGUCUCCUUUCUCAAAGAAAAAUUUUAAACUCCCAAAGACCUUUCCUCAGAAACAAAUAAAAUUCAA
RNAcentral lists this long non-coding RNA (1401 nucleotides) under Ananas comosus (pineapple). Its description in RNAcentral is "long non-coding RNA (ACOM_LNC035364)". The record is from RNAcentral. Lineage: Eukaryota; Viridiplantae; Streptophyta; Magnoliopsida; Poales; Bromeliaceae.